RNAcentral lists this ribosomal RNA (437 nucleotides) under uncultured bacterium. Its description in RNAcentral is "partial 16S ribosomal RNA". It matches the Rfam family "Bacterial small subunit ribosomal RNA", at positions 29 to 507 of the family's 1533-position model. The record is from RNAcentral.
AGCGAACGCUGGCGGCAGGCUUAACACAUGCAAGUCGAGCGGGCAUCCUUGUGGUGUCAGCGGCAGACGGGUGAGUAACGCGUGGGAACGUGCCCUUCGGUUCGGAAUAACUCAGGGAAACUUGAGCUAAUACCGGAUACGUGCGAGAGCAGAAAGGUUUAUCUGCCGAAGGAUCGGCCCGCGUCUGAUUAGCUAGUUGGUGAGGUUACGGCUCACCAAGGCGACGAUCAGUAGCUGGUCUGAGAGGAUGAUCAGCCACACUGGGACUGAGACACGGCCCAGACUCCUACGGGAGGCAGCAGUGGGGAAUAUUGGACAAUGGGGGCAACCCUGAUCCAGCCAUGCCGCGUGAGUGAUGACGGCCUUAGGGUUGUAAAGCUCUUUUCUCCGGGACGAUAAUGACGGUACCGGAGGAAUAAGCCCCGGCUAACUUUGUG